Long non-coding RNA from Oncorhynchus tshawytscha (Chinook salmon), 686 nucleotides. The record is from Ensembl. Lineage: Eukaryota; Metazoa; Chordata; Actinopteri; Salmoniformes; Salmonidae.
UUAAAAUUCUACACUGUUCGCUCAAUUUCAGUUUGUGAAAAUAAGCCCUGAAUAGUGAAGCGACUCAUUGUACAAUCUAAAUCGCUGUGAAAUCUUUUCAGUGAAACAAAGGUUCAGCUUCAAACAGCUACACCCUCUGAGAAGUGCUACAAACUAAUUUUGUUUUUGAAAAUAUAUUUUGCAGCGAUUUAGAUGGUCAAAGUCAAACAGCUUUCCCAAAUGAUUAUCACAGCCAACGUUAGCGGGCCAUGGUCUUUCCAGUGGUUGGUACAGAAGUGGACUUCUGGUACAGAAGUGGACUUCAGCUCCUCUUGAUAUUCUGACACUGCUCUUCAGGGUUAUGUAUGCUGUGAAUGGGUGCCACCACUACCAGAUCGGUCCUUAUGCAGGAAGUGCAAUGGCCCAUCAUGGAGGGACUUGGGCAGGACCAGCUUGAAGAAAGAAUACUGUCUGACUGUUGCCUAAUCAUUUGCUGACCAGAUGAGACUCCUUAAGUUGAAGUGGCAUCAGCAUACUGUUGUCCUUGAUGCUCACCAUUUCUAUGUACUGUCACCAUUAAAGUCAUAAAUUGUUUACAAUUUUUACUGUUGCCAUCAGUGUUGCUUUUGCUUGCAUACUCAACUGCAGAAAUAUUACUUGAAAGCACUGAUUUUCAAAUGUAUUUCAUUUACCAAUCUAACUACCAA